AUACGGAGGAUGCAAGCGUUAUCCGGAUUUAUUGGGUUUAAAGGGUGCGUAGGCGGAUGAUUAAGCGUGAGGUGAAAUGCCACUGCUCAACAGUGGAACUGCCUCGCGAACUGGUUGUCUUGAAUGCUCCUGCCGUGGGAGGAAUGUGUGGUGUAGCGGUGAAAUGCAUAGAGAUCACACAGAACACCGAUUGCGAAGGCAUCUCACGAAGGGGUGAUUGACGCUGAGGCACGAAAGCGUGGGGAUCGAACAGGAUUAGAUACCCUGGUGGUCCGCACAGUAAACGAUGAAUACUUGUUUUCGGCGAUAUAAUGUCGGAGGCAAAGCGAAAGCGAUAAGUAUUCCACCUGGGGAGCACGCCGGCAACGGUGAAAAUCAAAUGAAUUGGCGGG
RNAcentral lists this ribosomal RNA (392 nucleotides) under uncultured bacterium. RNAcentral describes it as "partial 16S ribosomal RNA". It matches the Rfam family "Bacterial small subunit ribosomal RNA", at positions 523 to 917 of the family's 1533-position model. The record is from RNAcentral.